AUGAAGGCCCUAUCUUCCCUGUUACUUCUCGUGGGAUGGGAGAUAUGGAAUGAAAGGAAUGCUCGUGUCUUCAGGAGCAAAGCGGUGCCGGUGGCGAUUGUCAUGCGACGCAUCAAAGAUGAAGUUUCGAUUUGGGCCACUGCAGGCGCUAAGCAUUUGCGUAAUGUAAUACCGUGAGAGUAA
RNAcentral lists this ribosomal RNA (183 nucleotides) under Triticum aestivum (bread wheat). RNAcentral describes it as "partial small subunit ribosomal RNA". The record is from RNAcentral. Lineage: Eukaryota; Viridiplantae; Streptophyta; Magnoliopsida; Poales; Poaceae.